This 208-nucleotide ribosomal RNA is filed under the name uncultured Bacillota bacterium. Its description in RNAcentral is "uncultured Firmicutes bacterium partial 16S ribosomal RNA". It matches the Rfam family "Bacterial small subunit ribosomal RNA", at positions 568 to 775 of the family's 1533-position model. Lineage: Bacteria; Bacillati; Bacillota. The record is from RNAcentral.
CGCGUAGGCGGGUAUUUAAGUCAGAUGUGAAAACUCCGGGCUCAACCCGGAGACUGCAUUUGAAACUGGGUAUCUUGAGGGCAGGAGAGGAAAGUGGAAUUCCUAGUGUAGCGGUGAAAUGCGUAGAUAUUAGGAGGAACACCAGUGGCGAAGGCGACUUUCUGGACUGUACCUGACGCUGAGGCGCGAAAGCGUGGGGAGCGAACGG